AGGUUAAGCCCGAUGAACCUGAAUAUCCAUUAUGAAAAAUUCAUCAUUAUAACAAAAUAAUAAUAAUAAUAUUAUUAUAUAUGGGAUAGUGUGCAUUUUUUUCAUAUAAGGACAUUGUGAUCUAUUAACAUAAUAAAAUAUUUAUCAAAAGAUCAUUAGCUUUAAGUUUAUUUUAAUUAAUUUGCUUUUUUAGCUUAUUAACAUAAAAUAAAUGCAAGUGAUUUG
Molecule: ribosomal RNA, 225 nt
Filed under: Euphranta balteata
Lineage: Eukaryota; Metazoa; Arthropoda; Insecta; Diptera; Tephritidae
Description: partial 28S ribosomal RNA
Source: RNAcentral